Molecule: ribosomal RNA, 473 nt
Filed under: uncultured bacterium
Lineage: Bacteria
Description: bacterial SSU rRNA
Rfam family: Bacterial small subunit ribosomal RNA
Source: RNAcentral
ACUCCUACGGGAGGCAGCAGUGGGGAAUAUUGCACAAUGGGCGCAAGCCUGAUGCAGCCAUGCCGCGUGUAUGAAGAAGGCCUUCGGGUUGUAAAGUACUUUCAGCAGUGAGGAAGGUGGAUAUGUUAAUAGCAUAUUCAUUUGACGUUAGCUGCAGAAGAAGCACCGGCUAACUCCGUGCCAGCAGCCGCGGUAAUACGGAGGGUGCGAGCGUUAAUCGGAAUUACUGGGCGUAAAGCGCAUGCAGGUGGUUUGUUAAGUCAGAUGUGAAAGCCCGGGGCUCAACCUCGGAAUUGCAUUUGAAACUGGCAAACUAGAGUACUGUAGAGGGGGGUAGAAUUUCAGGUGUAGCGGUGAAAUGCGUAGAGAUCUGAAGGAAUACCGGUGGCGAAGGCGGCCCCCUGGACAGAUACUGACACUCAGAUGCGAAAGCGUGGGGAGCAAACAGGAUUAGAUAACCUGGUAGGCUCUGC